GGCUUUAAACUAGUACACAUUAGUUAUUUCUCUCCUAUCACUCGAAAUGGAGGCAAGCCCAGUGACAGAUAUGAAGAUCUCGUCGGUGGUACCUGGUUCUAUGACAGGCGAGAACAAGCCACGGCAUCUCACGGCCAUGGACUUGGCCGUGAAGCUCCACUACGUCCGAGCUGUUUACUUCUUCAAGGGUACACGUGACUUCACCAUCGUCGACUUGAAUCACAUCACGUUUCCUUUGCUCGACCUCCAGUGUUAUGACCAUGUGACUGGUCGGAUCCGGAUUCUCGACAACAAAAACCCUUCAGCUCAAGCCAUACCUUACAUUCGCUGCAACGACAUGACAGUGGCAUGCGCAUAGUUGAAGCUAAAGUCGAAGGGUUCACGGUCCAGGAGUGGCUAGACUUGGACGACCGUUCCAUCGACCACCGGUUCCUUGUCUACGAUCACGUUCUUGGUCCUGAUCUUUUAUACUCUCCACUCGUUUACCUCCAGGUAACUACUACAUAUAUACGAGUUUUAUUACUCCAGUUUAAAAAUAUAAGCAGCCUUUUUUUUAACACUAAAAGUAAAGUAGCCUAAAAGUACUAAUAGGAAGAAAGUUGUUAUAUUUUAAAAAGUAUCAUUUUACUCAAUAAAUUCAACCAAUUAUGAAAAACUUAACAUUAUUUAAAUGGUCACACAGUAUCCAAUAAAUGUAAAAAAAGUGCAUUGAAAUAGGUAAAUUACUUACAUUGUGAAACAAUUUUUUUUUUGCUAAAAGUACCUACAAUAAAAGAGAGGGAGUAUUAUUUAUGGUCUCAAACUAAAAACCAACAUAAUUAAAUUCAAACUUUUUGUUUUGGUAGUUGCUAUCAAGCAUUCAUUCCAAGAUUAUUUUCUUGUUUUAUCUUAACUAUGAACUGGACACUUAAUAAACUGAGAAUCUUAACUUCGCAUUGGACUUUUAUUUAUUCCAGUAAGAAUAGAUUAGAUCAACAUAUGCUUAGACGGUCUCCACAACGAUUUGUUUCUAAAUAUAUAAUCAAGAACCUUUGUAUAAGCUGUCUGCACCACCAGCUAAAUGAUUUGUCGUAGUUAGGUAGGCCUGGGACUUUUAUCCGAGAUCCGGAUUCGAUCCGAGAUUCGAUCCGGAUCCAAUCCGAAAAUUCGAAUAUCCGGAGGGGC
Molecule: long non-coding RNA, 1164 nt
Filed under: Brassica napus (rape)
Lineage: Eukaryota; Viridiplantae; Streptophyta; Magnoliopsida; Brassicales; Brassicaceae
Description: long non-coding RNA (BNAP_LNC009610)
Source: RNAcentral